Molecule: non-coding RNA, 137 nt
Organism: Ceratotherium simum simum (southern white rhinoceros)
Lineage: Eukaryota; Metazoa; Chordata; Mammalia; Perissodactyla; Rhinocerotidae
Source: RefSeq, a predicted model, not a curated record
CAGAUAAUUCUUUCAGAUUGCAUUAGUAGGAUUCUGAUUGACAGAUUCUGCUCCAGCCAGCAGACAUAUUAUGGCUGUAAUCCUCACUCUUAUGGCUUUAAAACAUGUAUAAGAGACUAGAUGGGGCUGGCUCCAGG